AUUGAACGCUGGCGGCAGGCCUAACACAUGCAAGUCGAGCGGAUGAAGGGAGCUUGCUCCUGGAUUCAGCGGCGGACGGGGGAGUAAUGCCUAUGAAUCUGCCUGGGAGUGGGGGAUAACGUCCGGAAACGGGCGCUAAUACCGCAUACGUCCUGAGGGAGAAAGUGGGGGAUCUUCGGACCUCACGCUAUCAGAUGAGCCUAGGUCGGAUUAGCUAGUUGGUGGGGUAAAGGCCUACCAAGGCGACGAUCCGUAACUGGUCUGAGAGGAUGAUCAGUCACACUGGAACUGAGACACGGUCCAGACUCCUACGGGAGGCAGCAGUGGGGAAUAUUGGACAAUGGGCGAAAGCCUGAUCCAGCCAUGCCGCGUGUGUGAAGAAGGUCUUCGGAUUGUAAAGCACUUUAAGUUGGGAGGAAGGGCAGUAAGUUAAUACCUUGCUGUUUUGACGUUACCAACAGAAUAAGCACCGGCUAACUUCGUG
Molecule: ribosomal RNA, 484 nt
Filed under: uncultured bacterium
Lineage: Bacteria
Description: partial 16S ribosomal RNA
Rfam family: Bacterial small subunit ribosomal RNA
Source: RNAcentral